This 427-nucleotide long non-coding RNA is filed under the name Rosa chinensis. RNAcentral describes it as "sRNA RchiOBHm_Chr4g0434771". The record is from RNAcentral. Lineage: Eukaryota; Viridiplantae; Streptophyta; Magnoliopsida; Rosales; Rosaceae.
CUGAAUGAGGAAGCUGCUCUCUCUUUGGUCCACUUACAAAUUACCUUUAGGCAUUUUCAAUUCAGAAGUUCCAGAAAACUUGUAGACUGCAUUUCUUCUCUCGAUGGAUGUGGGCUUACCUCAGUAACGGUGUCCUCGGAAAUUGUUCAAAGCCAAGAAUAUCUCAUCUUCUUGUUGCUGGUGUUGUUGCUAGCUCUGCCGUGUUGUACAUGUUUAAAAGACGGGAUUAGUUCCAUAUAAGAUCCUUUUUUGAAUUUUUUACAGUAAUUGCCAGAAACCGACCAUAAAAGUGUGUUGAUAGUUGAUACUAGGGGUAUGAAUACUCCAGUUAAAUAAUCAACUGUUAGACUUCAGCUGAUGAAAAAGUUAGAAUUGUGUACUUUAUUUCGUUUUCUUAUUAUUAGAUAUGAUGUAACUCUGAUACUAG